Molecule: unclassified non-coding RNA, 378 nt
Filed under: plant metagenome
Description: partial contains 5.8S ribosomal RNA, internal transcribed spacer 2, and large subunit ribosomal RNA
Rfam family: 5.8S ribosomal RNA (bases 1-105)
Source: RNAcentral
GAAAUGCGAUAAGUAAUGUGAAUUGCAGAAUUCAGUGAAUCAUCGAAUCUUUGAACGCACCUUGCGCUCCUUGGUAUUCCUUGGAGCAUGCCUGUUUGAGUAUCAUGAAAUCUUCAAAGUAAAUCUUUUGUUAACUCAAUUGGUUUCUACUUUGGUAUUGGAGGUCUUUGCAGCUUCACACCUGCUCCUCUUUGUUCAUUAGCUGGAUCUCAGUGUUAUGCUUGGUUCCACUCGGCGUGAUAAGUUAUCUAUCGCUGAGGACACUGUAAAAGGUGGCCAAGGUAAAUGCAGACGAACCGCUUCUAAUAGUCCAUUGACUUGGACAAUACUUUUAUGAUCUGAUCUGAAAUCAGGUAGGACUGCCCGCUGAACUUAAGC